This is a long non-coding RNA of Aplysia californica (California sea hare), 920 nucleotides long. RefSeq lists it as uncharacterized. The transcript has 2 exons. NCBI's taxonomy places the organism in Eukaryota, Metazoa, Mollusca, Gastropoda, Aplysiida, Aplysiidae. The record is from RefSeq and is a predicted model, not a curated record.
AAGCAGAUGACAGAACAUGAUUAGAGAACGGGAGAAGCUGGCAAAGGAGUACCGUUUUAUUUUUUUUAUUUUUUUUUUUGGGUGAUCGCUGGCGGGAUUCGAUCCCGACGCCUUUUGUCUGAGAGGCGAACACCGAUCCUCUAAACCAGGAUAGCCCAUGGUCAGCUCUUGAUUUGACAAAAAAAACAACAAUACAUAGCAUUUGUAUAGUGCAAAAUCCCACUCAACAGCAAGUACUAUGCGCUUCACAAUCCAUACUAUUGCUCCAGCUGGUCUGGUAACAUUUUGAAACAUAUCUCAAACUUCCUGUGAAGCAAACAGUGCAACAUAAUAAUGUGUCUGCUCCAUCCAUACAGAGCAAGCAAGGGUCUUACCAAUGGGCUUACAGCAUUCUAUAAAUAACCUUCUCGUUACAGAGUUAACGAUAUGUUCGUUAGUCACCACUAUGAGGAGUGUGGUUUGGUUACUACAUGUGUUACGUAAACCUCUUCAGAAUCGAGUGGUAUUUUCUUGCGCAUCGACUUGAGUGAAGAUGUCGCGGUCGAGGCUUUCUCAGAUACCUGAGCCAGCCGAGUAGACUGCUAUCUGUUCAACGUUGAGAAAGACUCGCUUGUUGGUUUAACCCUAUAUGUACGUCGUGUUUUACUAUCGUAUCCUUACGACGUGGGGAAUUCUGUGCCCCCACUUUCCAAAGAGGAAAUUUACUCGUUAAUCCUGUCCGUACGCUUUGCAUAGCAGUCUGCCAAAAUGAUUUUUUGAGAAAUGCUGAAAGUUUCAAAGAGAUCUUCGCACAAGAAGUAUUCUAAAAUGUGAAGAAUACAACCCCUGGGGUACAAAAUGACCCAGGGUUGGUGUUUUCAGUAUUUAAGAAAUAUAUGGGUUUCGAUCCGGAAGCAUGUAAUAUUAUAACCGCCAAAUUA